AAAAAAUUAGUUAAAUUUAUAACAUUAACUUGUCAAGUUAAAAUUAUUAAUACUGCAUAAUAUUUUUUA
RNAcentral lists this transfer RNA (69 nucleotides) under Corethrella condita. RNAcentral's name for it is "tRNA-Asp". The record is from RNAcentral. Lineage: Eukaryota; Metazoa; Arthropoda; Insecta; Diptera; Corethrellidae.